Molecule: ribosomal RNA, 253 nt
Filed under: uncultured bacterium
Lineage: Bacteria
Description: partial 16S ribosomal RNA
Rfam family: Bacterial small subunit ribosomal RNA
Source: RNAcentral
UACGUAGGGCGCAAGCGUUGUCCGGAAUUAUUGGGCGUAAAGAGCUCGUAGGCGGCCUGUCGCGUCUGCUGUGAAAUCCCGGGGCUUAACCCCGGGCGUGCAGUGGAUACGGGCUGGCUGGAGGCAGGCAGGGGAGAACGGAAUUCCCGGUGUAGCGGUGAAAUGCGCAGAUAUCGGGAGGAACACCAGUGGCGAAGGCGGCACUCUGGGCCGGAACUGACGCUGAGGAGCGAAAGCGUGGGGAGCGAACAGG